GGGCGUAAAGCGCGCGUAGGCGGCGUGAUAAGCCGGUUGUGAAAGCCCCGGGCUCAACCUGGGAACGGCAUCCGGAACUGUCAGGCUAGAGUGCAGGAGAGGAAGGUAGAAUUCCCGGUGUAGCGGUGAAAUGCGUAGAGAUCGGGAGGAAUACCAGUGGCGAAGGCGGCCUUCUGGACUGACACUGACGCUGAGGUGCGAAAGCGUGGGUAGCAAACAGGAUUAGAUACCCUGGUAGUCCACGCCGUAAACGAUGUCGACUAGCCGUUGGGGUCCUAGAGACCUUUGUGGCGCAGUUAACGCGAUAAGUCGACCGCCUGGGGAGUACGGCCGCAAGGUUAAAACUCAAAUGAAUUGACGGGGGCCCGCACAAGCGGUGGAGCAUGUGGUUUAAUUCGAUGCAACGCGAAGAACCUUACCUACCCUUGACAUCGUGCGAACUUUCCAGAGAUGGAUUGGUGCCUUCGGGAACGCACAGACAGGUGCUGCAUGGCUGUCGUCAGCUCGUGUUGUGAAAUGUUGGGUUAAGUCCCGUAACGAGCGCAACCCUUGUCCCUAUUUGCCAGCGAUUCGGUCGGGAACUCUAGGGAGACUGCCGGUGACAAACCGGAGGAAGGUGGGGACGACGUCAAGUCAUCAUGGCCCUUACGGGUAGGGCUACACACGUGCUACAAUGGCCGGUACAAAGGGUUGCGAAGCCGCGAGGUGGAGCUAAUCCCGAAAAGCCGGUCUCAGUCCGGAUCGGAGUCUGCAACUCGACUCCGUGAAGUCGGAAUCGCUAGUAAU
RNAcentral lists this ribosomal RNA (786 nucleotides) under uncultured bacterium. RNAcentral describes it as "bacterial SSU rRNA". It matches the Rfam family "Bacterial small subunit ribosomal RNA", at positions 556 to 1342 of the family's 1533-position model. The record is from RNAcentral.